CCUACGGGAGGCAGCAGUAGGGAAUCUUUCACAAUGGGCGAAAGCCUGAUGGAGCAACGCCGCGUGCAGGAUGACGGCCUUCGGGUUGUAAACUGCUUUUAUAAGCGAGAAAUAUGAUGGUAACUUAUGAAUAAGGAUCGUCGAACUACGUGCCAGCAGCCGCGGUCAUACGUAGGAUCCGAGCAUUAUCCGGAGUGACUGGGUGUAAAGAGUUUCGUAGGUGGCAUAAUAAGUAGCUAGUGAAAUCUGGUGGCUCAACCAUUAAAACUAUUAGCUAAACUGGUAAGCUCGAGUACGUUAGAGGUAAGUGGAAUUUGUGGUGUAGGGGUGAAAUGCGUAGAUAUUAGAAGGAACACCGAUAGCGUAGGCAGGUUACUGGGACGGUUCUGACACUGAGGCACGAAAGCGUAGGGAGCAAACGGGAUUAGAUACCCGAGUAGUC
RNAcentral lists this ribosomal RNA (442 nucleotides) under uncultured bacterium. Its description in RNAcentral is "partial 16S ribosomal RNA". It matches the Rfam family "Bacterial small subunit ribosomal RNA", at positions 338 to 795 of the family's 1533-position model. The record is from RNAcentral.